CCCGCACAAGCGGUGGAGCAUGUGGUUUAAUUCGAUGAUACGCGAGGAACCUUACCUGGGCUCAAAUGUAUGUUGACGUAUUCUGAAAGGGAUACUUCUUCGGACAAUAUACAAGGUGCUGCAUGGUUGUCGUCAGCUCGUGCCGUGAGGUGUCGGGUUAAGUCCCAUAACGAGCGCAACCCCUAUCAUUAGUUGCCAUCAGGUCAAGCUGGGGACUCUAAUGAAACUGCCUACGCAAGUAGUGAGGAAGGUGGGGAUGACGUCAAAUCAGCACGGCCCUUACGUCCAGGGCUACACACGUGCUACAAUGGCCGGUACAAAGGGCAGCUACCUGGUGACAGGAUGCUAAUCUCAAAAGCCGGUCUCAGUUCGGAUCGCAGUCUGCAACUCGACUGCGUGAAGUCGGAAUCGCUAGUAAUCGUGAAUCAGAAUGUCACGGUGAAUACGUUCCCGGGCCUU
Molecule: ribosomal RNA, 459 nt
Filed under: uncultured Sphingobacteriales bacterium
Lineage: Bacteria; Pseudomonadati; Bacteroidota; Sphingobacteriia; Sphingobacteriales
Description: bacterial SSU rRNA
Rfam family: Bacterial small subunit ribosomal RNA
Source: RNAcentral